AUAGGAGUCCGAACGGAGUCUACCUGCAAUUGAAGUCGGGGACGAAGUUCGGCUCCCGUAGGAGUCCGGAUGAAGUCUACCUGCAAUUGAAGUCGAAGGCGAAGUCCGGCUCCCGUAGGAGUCCGGGCGAAGUCUUCCUGCAGCCGGAGUCGGGGACGAAGUCCGGACGAAGUCUACCUACAAUUGAAGUUGGGGACGAAGUCCGGCUCCCGUAGGGGUCCGGACGAAGUCUUCCUACAGCCGAAGUCGGGGACGAAGUCCGGCUCCCGUAGGAGUCCGGACGGAGUCUACCUGCAAUUGAAGUCGGGGACGAAGUCCGGCUCCCGUAGGAGUCCGGACGAAGUCUACCUGCAAUUGAAGUCGAGGGUGAAGUCCGGCUCCCGUAGGAGUCUGGGCGAAGUCCUCCUGCAGUCGGAGUCGGGGACGAAGUCCGGACGAAGUCUACCUGCAAUUGAAGUUGGGGACGAAGUCCGGCUCCCGUAGGGGUCCGGAUGAAGUCUACCUGCAAUUGAAGUCGAGGGGGA
Molecule: long non-coding RNA, 524 nt
Filed under: Elaeis guineensis (African oil palm)
Lineage: Eukaryota; Viridiplantae; Streptophyta; Magnoliopsida; Arecales; Arecaceae
Description: long non-coding RNA (EGUI_LNC001088)
Source: RNAcentral